RNAcentral lists this small RNA (29 nucleotides) under Bombyx mori (domestic silkworm). Its description in RNAcentral is "ovarian small RNA-35850". Lineage: Eukaryota; Metazoa; Arthropoda; Insecta; Lepidoptera; Bombycidae. The record is from RNAcentral.
UGUCUUCUUUGAUUAGGACCAGGGUGUUC